Molecule: long non-coding RNA, 689 nt
Organism: Capsicum annuum
Lineage: Eukaryota; Viridiplantae; Streptophyta; Magnoliopsida; Solanales; Solanaceae
Exons: 3
Source: RefSeq, a predicted model, not a curated record
GUGCAUCUUGGACAAAACUUACAGUCAUGAGGAACUGUUAACUAUGGACAAACAAAUUCUCGGGCAACUGGUUGUCGUGGAUAAAGUUGUCAUGGUUGUGCGAAGUGAAGUUAGCCAUGUGGAAGCCUCAUUGUUUGCCGAUUAACCGACUAUUACACAAGAGGCCGAUGAAACUACCACAUUUAAAGACCUCAAACUAAACUUGGUCUUUCAAUUGCGUCGAUCUUGGAAUAAAGAGCUUAUAAGUUUCGGGAACCUGAGAAUAUCAUGGACUACAGUUUUGUGAUUGGUCUACAUAUCUGCAAUUAUUGCAUCCUUUUGGUAACAAUUCUGGAAAUCUUUGUACAUCUAUGUUACAUUGCGUUAAACUGGUUGUUGUGGAUAAAGUUGCCGUGGUUGGUGAGGUGAAGUUAGCCAUGCGGAACCCUCAUUGUUUGCCGAUUAGCCGACUAUUGUAAGUGUUUGGUUAUUGUUUUCAGUACCGAAGCUCCUUGGUUACAAAGUUUUUUGGUGUACAUUGUGUUAAAUUGGUUGGAUGUCAAAGGUAUGUUUGAAAUCCCUUUAGCGCUACAACCUAUCUGCUUCCGAAGAAGAUCAUGUACAGUUCCUUCUGCAGUUAUUUCUCUAGUUCUUACAUUCUCUUAUUCAACAAAUGGGUGUCUUAAUGGAUAUGUCAUAGAAUUGUUAAG